UACGAAGGGGGCUAGCGUUGCUCGGAUUGACUGGGCGUAAAGGGCGCGUAGGCGGUCAGCACAAGUCAGUUGUGAAAUCUCCGGGCUUAACCCGGAAAGGUCAACUGAUACUGUGCGACUAGAGUGCGGAAGGGGCAACUGGAAUUCUCGGUGUAGCGGUGAAAUGCGUAGAUAUCGAGAGGAACACCUGCGGCGAAGGCGGGUUGCUGGGCCGACACUGACGCUGAUGCGCGAAAGCCAGGGGAGCGAACGGG
This 254-nucleotide ribosomal RNA is filed under the name uncultured bacterium. RNAcentral describes it as "partial 16S ribosomal RNA". It matches the Rfam family "Bacterial small subunit ribosomal RNA", at positions 524 to 776 of the family's 1533-position model. The record is from RNAcentral.